CAAUUGAAGAGUUUGAUCCUGGCUCAGAUUGAACGCUGGCGGCAUGGCUAAAGCAUGCAAGUCGAAUGAGAACCAGGCUUCGGCCUGGGGACAAUGGCGAAAGGGCGAGUAAUGCGAUCGAAUGUACCCCGAGGUGAGGGAUAGCGUCGAGAAAUCGUCGGUAAUACCUCAUGUCCUCUACGGAGAAAAGGCUUGCCGCCUUGGGAGCAGCGAUCGUCCUAUCAGGUAGUUGGUGAGGUAAUGGCUCACCAAGCCGAAGACGGGUAGCGGGUGUGAGAGCAUGACCCGCCGCAUCGGAACUGAGACACUGUCCGGACUCCUACGGGAGGCUGCAGCGACGAAUAUUCCGCAAUGGGCGAAAGCCUGACGGAGCAAUGCCGCGU
RNAcentral lists this ribosomal RNA (383 nucleotides) under Planctomycetota bacterium. RNAcentral's name for it is "bacterial SSU rRNA". It matches the Rfam family "Bacterial small subunit ribosomal RNA", at positions 1 to 402 of the family's 1533-position model. The record is from RNAcentral. Lineage: Bacteria; Pseudomonadati; Planctomycetota.